UAGGCCCUGGAGGGGUUCUUGUGCUGUCUAACCCUAACUGAGGUGGCAUAGGCACCCACUUUUGCUCCCUGUGUGCUAUUUUUCUCACUGACUUUCAGUGGGUGGGAAAAGCCUUCGCUUCCAUGAUCUUCUGGAGCAAACAAAAAAUGUCAGUCCCUGGCCCGCUUGCCCUUACCGGGAAUCUGGGGAGGCUUACUCGCCCAGCCCCUGCUCUCCACCUAGAGACAGUGGUCGGUCGGCCUGGGGCUUCUACGGAGGCGCCCAGUGCAGUGUAAAGAAUUAGUGUCUGUUAACUCCAGAUCCUGCUGGGGCCAAGGGUGAGGCUAGGGCUGCCAGGCUGCGGGAGGAGGUACCGAACCAGUCCUCUUGCACAGUGUGCUUCCCUGAGCCGUGGGACUUGCACCCAGGACUGGGCUCAGGUUUGU
RNAcentral lists this telomerase RNA (425 nucleotides) under Choloepus hoffmanni (Hoffmann's two-fingered sloth). Its description in RNAcentral is "Vertebrate telomerase RNA (ENSCHOG00000014765.1)". It matches the Rfam family "Vertebrate telomerase RNA". Rfam says of the family: Telomerase is a ribonucleoprotein reverse transcriptase that synthesises telomeric DNA. Telomerase RNAs differ greatly in sequence and structure between vertebrates, ciliates and yeasts, but they share a 5' pseudoknot structure close to the template sequence. Vertebrate telomerase RNAs have a 3' H/ACA snoRNA-like domain. Lineage: Eukaryota; Metazoa; Chordata; Mammalia; Pilosa; Megalonychidae. The record is from RNAcentral.